Long non-coding RNA from Juglans regia (Persian walnut), 818 nucleotides. RefSeq lists it as uncharacterized. NCBI's taxonomy places the organism in Eukaryota, Viridiplantae, Streptophyta, Magnoliopsida, Fagales, Juglandaceae. The record is from RefSeq and is a predicted model, not a curated record. The transcript is spliced from 2 exons.
AUUGUCCUCACUCGUGUUUAGAGCUAGCCAGCCACUCUCACUGCCACAUAAGAAGAAUUUCAUUUUCUUCAUAUGAUCUCAAGACUACCCUUUUAAGUUUUUGUCUUGUUAACCUGUAGAAGAACUAACAUUUUGAUCUAUGUUUAGGGUUUAUAUAUGUUUUGUUAUUGCAGAUGUGCAGAAGUACUGUUGCUGAGAGUAAACAUGGUGAUUCAUGGGAGAUCAAUGGAUCCGUUUAACGGGAUAUUGGUCCGGUUCAAUAAGAAAGCCGUGCUCAAAAUGUUUUGGGUGCUGCUUUUUGAUUGAGCCGUGCCAAUAUCACGUUCCGCUGCUCCCAAAUCCUCAUAUCUCUUAUCAAGAAUGCGAAGCGCCAGACAGACCUUGCUACUUCUGAUCUCUUGUCCUGCUUCUCGGUUGGGGAUCGAAUUAAUUGAAGAUAUGUCGAACGCUAGGUCUUUAUCAUGGGGAUAUAUGGUCCUAGCAACUUAAAAUUAGUUCAUUUUAGAAGAAGAAGAAGAAGGCUGCUGCAUGGGGAACUCAUCCUCAAUAGUCUUUUAUAUCUCAAAGAAGGCGGCGUCUGCGUCCUACGUACUGCAAAUAGACUUGAUUUCCUGCUCAUCUUGUUCACCUGCAUGCCUACUGUCAUUUAUAUAUGGGAAGUUGUUCAAGGAAAUCAAUUUACGUAAAUCCAUUUGUUCCUCCUUAAUUUACGUAUGUGUUUAGUUUUAACUAAAAGCUUCAUGAUUAACGUAUGUCUUCCUGUACGAUGUAAUGAUGAUUUUCCAUUGAAGUAAUGACAAAGUAUAAACUAAACUCCA